CAAGAAGAUCUUGGGCUGUCAUCCUCUAGAGGGAAGCACUUUCUGUUGUCUGAGAGAAAAGAAAGUGCUUCCUUUUAAAGGGUUACCGUUUGAGAAAAGCAACAUUGAAG
RNAcentral lists this microRNA precursor (110 nucleotides) under Gorilla gorilla (western gorilla). RNAcentral describes it as "microRNA ggo-mir-520c precursor". Its record names the gene ggo-mir-520c. The stretch from base 9 to 95 matches the Rfam family "mir-515 microRNA precursor family". RNAcentral also lists the same sequence under 1 other name. Lineage: Eukaryota; Metazoa; Chordata; Mammalia; Primates; Hominidae. The record is from miRBase by way of RNAcentral.